Long non-coding RNA from Penaeus chinensis, 362 nucleotides. RefSeq lists it as uncharacterized. The transcript is spliced from 2 exons. Lineage: Eukaryota; Metazoa; Arthropoda; Malacostraca; Decapoda; Penaeidae. The record is from RefSeq and is a predicted model, not a curated record.
GCUUGUGCGAGGUCGCAGUAGCAGUAGCAGUAACAGCGCAUUUUCCUUCCAUCGGUAAACUGACUACCCCUAAAGACCGCAUGCAAGGAGACAGACCGAGACGGGGGAUAUAGACGUGUCGGAAUCCCGCAGUUCGUCAGUGGCUCGGACGUUGCAGGCAAUUUGCAUGAACAUCGUCGAAAACAAGAAAAAGUGAAAAAGUGAAAAAAGUGAAAGUGAAAGUGGAAGUGAACAGAAAUUAACUUAACUUGGUGAUAUGACUUGUAGUGCAUGAACGAGAGGAAUUUUAGGAAACAUUGUUUUUGUUUUUGUUUUGUGUAUGUUAAUUUAUAUUUAAGUUUGAAAAUAAAUGGUUAAAGGUU